GGCUUAGAGUUUGAUCAUGGCUCAGGAUAAACGCUGGCGGCGCACAUAAGACAUGCAAGUCGAACGGACCAAAUUUUAAAAUUUAUUUUAAGAAGAGGUUAGUGGCGGACUGGUGAGUAACGCGUAAGGAACCUGCCUAUCAGAGGGGAAUAACAGUGAGAAAUCAUUGCUAAUACCGCAUAUACUAAAUAAGUUGCAUGACAUAUUUAGGAAAGGAGCAAUCCGCUGAUAGAUGGACUUGCGUCUGAUUAGCUAGUUGGUGAGAUAAAAGCCCACCAAGGCAACGAUCAGUAGCCGGACUGAGAGGUUGAACGGCCACAUUGGGACUGAGAUACGGCCCAGACUCCUACGGGAGGCAGCAGUCGGGAAUAUUGCGCAAUGGAGGAAACUCUGACGCAGUGACGCCGCGUAUAGGAAGAAGGUCUUCGGAUUGUAAACUAUUGUCAUUAGGGAAGAGAAAGGACAGUACCUAAAGAGGAAGCUCCGGCUAACUACGUGCCAGCAGCCGCGGUAAUACGUAGGGAGCAAGCGUUAUCCGGAUUUAUUGGGUGUAAAGGGUGCGUAGACGGGAAUGCAAGUUAGUUUUGAAAUCCCUCGGCUAAGCC
Molecule: ribosomal RNA, 605 nt
Filed under: uncultured organism
Description: bacterial SSU rRNA
Rfam family: Bacterial small subunit ribosomal RNA
Source: RNAcentral